Molecule: ribosomal RNA, 460 nt
Filed under: uncultured bacterium
Lineage: Bacteria
Description: partial 16S ribosomal RNA
Rfam family: Bacterial small subunit ribosomal RNA
Source: RNAcentral
CCUACGGGAGGCUGCAGUGAGGAAUAUUGGUCAAUGGGCGAGAGCCUGAACCAGCCAAGUCGCGUGAAGGAUGACGGCCCUACGGGUUGUAAACUUCUUUUGUCAGGGAGCAAUUGGGUCCACGCGUGGGCUUAGCGAGAGUACCUGAAGAAAAAGCCUCGGCUAACUCCGUGCCAGCAGCCGCGGUAAUACGGAGGAUGCGCGCGUUAUCCGGAUUUAUUGGGUGUAAAGGGUGCUUAGGCGGAAUAUCAAGUCAGCGGUAAAAAUUCGGGGCUCAACCCGGUCGUGCCGUUGAAACUGAUGGUCUUGAGUGGGCGAGAAGUAUGCGGAAUGCGUGGUGUAGCGGUGAAAUGUAUAGAUAUCACGCAGAACUCCGAUUGCGAAGGCAGCAUACCGGCGCCCAACUGACGCUGAAGCACGAAAGCGUGGGUAUCGAACAGGAUUAGAUACCCCUGUAGUC